AUGGCGAAGGGCAAGCAAGGGAAAUGGACCCACUGCCAGCUGAGAGCGAUAGCCACGAGAGGGCGCUCGCAGAGGGGACGGGACCUGCACCUGCGCCAAGUGAGGCUGCCGAGAGCAAGUGGACCAGAGGUGGGGGAGGGGGGGUCGGGGUGCACUCAGAAAGCCGAGGCUCAGCGACAGGCGGACGCGGCAGCCAGGGAGCAGGCCCCAGGAGGUGCACGCCUCCAGGAGCUCUGGUCCUCCGGGAACACUCAGCAGCCCCGACUUCGGUGGUGCGAGUCGCUGCAGCAAGGGAAAGACGUCCAUAUUUCUAUGGAAAAGCCCGACAGCCCAGCCCGAGCCAGGGACCCUGGUGGGCGGCAGCUGUGGCGUCUCUCGAGGGGGACACCAGGCCAUGGCCCCGGCAGCCUCGGCUUGUAUGCGAGUUGUCUGCUGGCAGCAGGGCUGCAUGUGGUGGUGAGGGGCACCACGCACCUGGCUGUAUACCUUUUGCAAUGUCCCCGUCCUGAGGAAAGCUGUUCUCGAGGCGCAGGUGGCCUGGAGAAGGGACCUGGUAAUAGUGUGUGUGGGGGGGGAGUUCAGGGUCAGCCAGAGAGAAGGCGGCCGUCACAUGGAGCCGGUUACGCCUCUGCUCUUUGCUGGGGGCCUGCUGAGCCAUAUCUGCACCCCAGAGCCCUGCGCCUGCCUCUCUCCUCCUCGCGCUGUCCUGCCCUGGCCCUCUCUCCUUGGCCUAGUCCCCCUCUCAGCUGUCCCCUUCACUGCCCUGUUGGGAGCUGGACCCCAGCCCUGUUCCUUGGCGUGCCGGCCCCGCCUCUGCACAGAGGACCCAGACGCCACCGGGGUCUGUGGGAGGCUCCCCACGCACCACACACCCACCAGGGCCACACUGGCCUCCCUGGGCUGCUGCUGGCCCGGCACAGAUUCGAGAGAUGGCGGCUCCGGGGAGGAAGGUCUGAGCCGGGUCCGCAUGGGGAUCCAGGUCCCGGCUGGCCCCGCAGCCUCUUCCACCGCCCCUCGCCCCCUCCCGCUUCCUAG
RNAcentral lists this long non-coding RNA (1035 nucleotides) under Oryctolagus cuniculus (rabbit). RNAcentral describes it as "lncRNA (ENSOCUG00000035028.1)". The record is from RNAcentral. Lineage: Eukaryota; Metazoa; Chordata; Mammalia; Lagomorpha; Leporidae.